GGACAAUACUGACGCUGAGAUGCGAAGCGUGGGGAGCAAACAGGAUUAGAUACCUGGUAGUCCACGCUGUAAACGAUGUCGAUUUGGAGUUUGGGGGCAUGACCCUUGGGCUCGGGAGCUAACGCGUUAAAUCGACCGCUGGGGAGUACGGCCGCAAGGUUAAAACUCAAAUGAAUUGACGGGGGCCCGCACAAGCGGUGGAGCAUGUGGUUUAAUUCGAUGCAACGCGAAGAACCUUACCUGGUCUUGACAUCCAUAGAAUCUUUCAGAGAUGAGAGAGUGCCUUCGGGAGCUAUGAGACAGGUGCUGCAUGGCUGUCGUCAGCUCGUGUUGUGAAAUGUUGGGUUAAGUCCCGCAACGAGCGCAACCCCUAUCCUUUGUUGCCAGCACGUAAUGGUGGGAACUCAAAGGAGACUGCCGUUGAUAAAGCGGAGGAAGGUGGGGACGACGUCAAGUCAUCAUGGCCCUUACGACCAGGGCUACACACGUGCUACAAUGGCGUAUACAAAGGGAUGCGAAGGUGCGAACUGGAGCGGACCUCACAAAGUACGUCUAAGUCCGGAUUGGAGUCUGCAACUCGACUCCAUGAAGUCGGAAUCGCUAGUAAUCGUGAAUCAGAAUGUCACGGUGAAUACGUUCCCGGGCCUUGUACACACCGCCCGUCACACCAUGGGAGUGGGUUGCACCAGAAGUAGAUAGCUUAACCUUCGGGAGGGCGUUUACCACGGUGUGGUUCAUGACUGGGGUGAAGUCGUAACAAGGUAACCA
This 768-nucleotide ribosomal RNA is filed under the name uncultured Enterobacteriaceae bacterium. RNAcentral's name for it is "bacterial SSU rRNA". It matches the Rfam family "Bacterial small subunit ribosomal RNA", at positions 732 to 1502 of the family's 1533-position model. Lineage: Bacteria; Pseudomonadati; Pseudomonadota; Gammaproteobacteria; Enterobacterales; Enterobacteriaceae. The record is from RNAcentral.